UGUGAAUGGAUUAAAAACAGGCAUGUAA
This 28-nucleotide non-coding RNA is filed under the name Rattus norvegicus (Norway rat). The record is from RNAcentral. Lineage: Eukaryota; Metazoa; Chordata; Mammalia; Rodentia; Muridae.